Molecule: long non-coding RNA, 841 nt
Filed under: Pongo abelii (Sumatran orangutan)
Lineage: Eukaryota; Metazoa; Chordata; Mammalia; Primates; Hominidae
Description: lincRNA
Source: RNAcentral
AGAAUAACACUAAUGGACAUGUAAACACACAUCGAUAAAUACAAUACAAUUAGCCCUUCAGGAAACUCUGCAAGGACUCUGCAUUUCAUCUGGAGAAUAAUGGACUGGAAGACUACAUAAUCUAUCCUCUUCACAUCAACACACAAGCACUGAUAUUCCUCUGAUAUUUGCUGCUACAACCUCCCCAGCUGCAGCCACAACUUACUUUGUUGUUUCUUUACACUGAACACAUACCUUAGCUGACCUUGCUUCCUGAAAUGCAAAUUGCGCAAAUGUAAUCUUUGCUAAAUUCCUCAUAUUCCUAAACAUUUGCUCAAACUUCAUCAUUUUUGAAGACUCUGAUCACCCUACAAAUGCUACAGACAUCUACCAACUCAGCAUUCUAUUCAUUUAAUUACUCCAAUAUUGUCAUUGUUUCAAACAUCCAUAACCUUUUAAUGCAUUAUAUAAAUUAUUUAUUAUUGUAGAAAAUGAAAAUUAGCUGGACAGCAAAUAUCUACCCAAUCAAAAAAGAUUUAGAUAAAUGCAGCUGGAAAGUUAACAGGAAACACACUUCUUCCAAGGUUUGUGGCCCCUGAAAAGUGGUAACAUAACUGCCUUCUUUGAUUGACUACCUCUUUCUUUCUUUCUUUCAUCCUUUUUCCUUUCCUUUCCUUUCCCUUUCUUGCCUUCCUUCCUUUCUUUCUUUCUUUCUCUAUCAUAAAUUGUGCUUUUUGAAAUUAUGCCAGUAAGAACAACAUAUCCCACUCUUGCUUGGAUAAUCUGUCAUUUUAAAAGAGAGAAACAACGUUUAUACACAAUCUAAACUCAAAACUUCAGUUGGGAGUUUCUGAAUAAAAUA